UGCCAGACUCCUACGGGAGGCAGCAGUGAGGAAUAUUGGUCAAUGGCCGAGAGGCUGAACCAGCCAAGUCGCGUGAGGGAAGACGGCCCUACGGGUUGUAAACCUCUUUUGUCGGGGAGCAAAGCGAGUCACGUGUGACCCAUUGAGAGUACCCGAAGAAAAAGCAUCGGCUAACUCCGUGCCAGCAGCCGCGGUAAUACGGAGGAUGCGAGCGUUAUCCGGAAUUACUGGGUGUAAAGGGAGCGCAGGCGGGAAGCCAAGUCAGCUGUGAAAACUACGGGCUUAACUUGUAGACUGCAGUUGAAACUGGUUUUCUUGAGUGAAGUAGAGGUUGGCGGAAUUCCGAGUGUAGCGGUGAAAUGCGUAGAUAUUCGGAGGAACACCGGUGGCGAAGGCGGCCAACUGGGCUUUAACUGACGCUGAGGCUCGAAAGUGUGGGGAGCAAACAGGAUUAGAUACCCCUGUA
RNAcentral lists this ribosomal RNA (466 nucleotides) under uncultured bacterium. RNAcentral's name for it is "bacterial SSU rRNA". It matches the Rfam family "Bacterial small subunit ribosomal RNA", at positions 329 to 792 of the family's 1533-position model. The record is from RNAcentral.